Molecule: transfer RNA, 76 nt
Filed under: Gammaproteobacteria bacterium
Lineage: Bacteria; Pseudomonadati; Pseudomonadota; Gammaproteobacteria
Also listed under: 2 other names
Description: tRNA-Ala
Rfam family: tRNA
About the family: Transfer RNA (tRNA) molecules are approximately 80 nucleotides in length. Their secondary structure includes four short double-helical elements and three loops (D, anti-codon, and T loops).
Source: RNAcentral
GGGGCCAUAGCUCAGCCGGGAGAGCACCUGCUUUGCAAGCAGGGGGUCGGCGGUUCGAUCCCGCCUGGCUCCACCA